UUCAGAGGAACCUGUCCUAUAAUUGAUGAUCCACAAUUAAAUUUACUUAUUUUAUUAAUUUGCAUAUCGUUGUAGUUUGAAUAUUUUAUUAGAAAAUUAAUGUUCAAGAUUUUUUUAGAAAAUAAAUCAGAUCAAGGUGUAGUUUAUAAAUAAGAAGAGGUGGGUUACAAUAAAUUUAUUUAAAUGGAUAUUUAAUUUAAAAAUUAAAUUGAAGGUGGAUUUGAAAGUAAUUUUAAUUAGUUAAUUAAAAUGAUUUUAGCUCUAAAAUAUGUACAUAUCGCCCGUCAUUUUCAUUAUAAAGUGAAACAAGUCGUAACAAAGUAGGUGUACUGGAAAGUGUACCUAGAAUGACAAAUUAGAGCUUGUUAAAGCAUUUUAUUUACAUUAAAAAGUUUAUUGUUAAAAUCAAUAUAAUUUGAAUUUAAAAAAUUAUUUUUAUAGUAAAUUAAUAAAUUUUUAAAAAAAAUAAUUUUUUGUUUAAUUAUUUAAAUUGAAAAAAUUUUAUAUAAUUAUAGUAUAUUAGUAUUGUGAAAGAAUUAUUUUAAAUGAUUUAAAGAAUAAUUAAUUUUUAGUGCCUUGUGUAUCAUGAUUUAUUAAAUAAGAAUUUUUUAUUAAAUUUUCUCGAAUUUAAAAGAGCUAUAAAUUUAUAUUUUUUAUUAUAUCAUAAAUAUUAAUAAUAUUUUUAUAGUAAUGAAAUGUUAUUCGUUUUUAAAAAUAUCUAGUUUUUUCAGAAAUAAAUUUAAUUUAUUUAAUAAUAAUAUAUUAUUUUUUAUUUUUAAUUUAAUAUUAUUAUUAUUUUAUACUAAAUGGGAUGAGCUUUUUAGUAAAUUUUUAAAAGUUUAAUUUAAAUUUUAAAUAAAUAGGAUUAAUAAUUUUCAUUUUUAUUAGUAUUUUAUAAUUAUUUUAAAUUUUUAUAUUAUUUAUAUUAUCUUUAAUUUUUUUAUGAAAUUUUAAAUGUAAAUUUUAUUUGUUUAGUAAUAAUGAUAAAAUUAGUAUAAAUUUAUGUAAUUUAAUUAAUAAUUAAGGUUAAUUAAAGGAAUUCGGCAAAUUAAUUUUUUACCUGUUUAUCAAACCGGUGUGAGCCAGGUUGGUUUCUAUCUCAAAAUAAAAUAAAUUUAUUAGUACGAAAGGACCAUUAAUUUUAUUAAAAAUAUUUUUUUAGAAUAUUAUUGUUAUUUUGGCAGAAUAGUGCAAUAGAUUUAGAAUCUUUAUAUGUAAAUUUUUACAGAUAAUACUUGUUAAAAGAUUUUUAUUUAAUAAUAUUUUCUUUAAUUAUUUUGUUUUUAUGUGUAAUAGUAAGAGUAGCUUUUUUACAUUAUUAGAACGUAAAGUUUUAGGAUAUAUUCAAAUUC
This 1352-nucleotide ribosomal RNA is filed under the name Apion rubiginosum. RNAcentral's name for it is "partial 16S ribosomal RNA". The record is from RNAcentral. Lineage: Eukaryota; Metazoa; Arthropoda; Insecta; Coleoptera; Brentidae.